UUCUUGGCAACUGGAAACUUUUUUCUUGCUUUGAAAAAAAACGAGCUGAGGGUCAUCCAGGACAACCUCUCCACUGAACAAAGGUAGGGUAAGGUCUGUGUGUACCCACCCUCCCAAGGCCCCGCAUGUGGGACUAAUACUGGGCGUUGUUGUAUUAUGACGAUAUCUUGUAGCUUUUAUUUGCUUUAGUAAUUCUCUUAUGAAGAAAA
RNAcentral lists this long non-coding RNA (209 nucleotides) under Capsicum annuum. RNAcentral's name for it is "long non-coding RNA (CANN_LNC010879)". Lineage: Eukaryota; Viridiplantae; Streptophyta; Magnoliopsida; Solanales; Solanaceae. The record is from RNAcentral.